UGCAGUCGACGCUUCUUUUUCCCCGGAGCUUGCUCCACCGGAAAAAGAGGAGUGGCGAACGGGUGAGUAACACGUGGGUAACCUGCCCAUCAGAAGGGGAUAACACUUGGAAACAGGUGCUAAUACCGUAUAACAAUCAAAACCGCAUGGUUUUGAUUUGAAAGGCGCUUUCGGGUGUCGCUGAUGGAUGGACCCGCGGUGCAUUAGCUAGUUGGUGAGGUAACGGCUCACCAAGGCCACGAUGCAUAGCCGACCUGAGAGGGUGAUCGGCCACAUUGGGACUGAGACACGGCCCAAACUCCUACGGGAGGCAGCAGUAGGGAAUCUUCGGCAAUGGACGAAAGUCUGACCGAGCAACGCCGCGUGAGUGAAGAAGGUUUUCGGAUCGUAAAACUCUGUUGUUAGAGAAGAACAAGGAUGAGAGUAACUGUUCAUCCCUUGACGGUAUCUAACCAGAAAGCCACGGCUAACUACGUGCCAGCAGCCGCGGUAAUACGUAGGUGGCAAGCGUUGUCCGGAUUUAUUGGGCGUAAAGCGAGCGCAGGCGGUUUCUUAAGUCUGAUGUGAAAGCCCCCGGCUCAACCGGGGAGGGUCAUUGGAAACUGGGAGACUUGAGUGCAGAAGAGGAGAGUGGAAUUCAUGUGUAGCGGUGAAAUGCGUAGAUAUAUGGAGGAACACCAGUGGCGAAGGCGGCUCUCUGGUCUGUAACUGACGCUGAGGCUCGAAAGCGU
RNAcentral lists this ribosomal RNA (731 nucleotides) under uncultured bacterium. RNAcentral's name for it is "bacterial SSU rRNA". It matches the Rfam family "Bacterial small subunit ribosomal RNA", at positions 56 to 762 of the family's 1533-position model. The record is from RNAcentral.